CAGAGGGGUGCAAGCGUUAAUCGGGAAUUACUGGGGCGUAAAAGCGAGCGUAGGUGGCUUGAUAAGUCAGAUGUGAAAUCCCCCGGGGCUUAACCUGGGGAACUGCAUCUGAAACUGUUAGGCUAGAGUAGGUGAGAGGGAGGUAGAAUUUCAGGUGUAGCGGUGAAAUGCGUAGAGAUCUGAAGGAAUACCGAUGGCGAAGGCAGCCUCCUGGCAUCAUACUGACACUGAGGCUCGAAAAGCGUGGGUAGCAAACAGGAUU
RNAcentral lists this ribosomal RNA (262 nucleotides) under uncultured bacterium. RNAcentral describes it as "partial 16S ribosomal RNA". It matches the Rfam family "Bacterial small subunit ribosomal RNA", at positions 525 to 779 of the family's 1533-position model. The record is from RNAcentral.